CCUGUCUGUGGAAUACACAAGACACUUCUUGUAGACAGCUCCUUCCAUAGGACCUAAUUUGGAUAAAGACUGUGUUCCCAUUAGUCAGGAGCUCUUAUCCCUGAAACAUAUUACAAGGACUUUUAUUAUAAACCUAUAUAUUCAGUAAAUAGAUGUUUGGAGGACUGGUGGCGGAGCACUGAGGACCUAUCGGUGGGAGAAUCAAUAUGAAUAAUAAGGACAAUUGACCCUGAGGGUGAUAAGUGAUCCAGGAAGGAGGACGGUAACAGAUAAAGUUUUCUUUAGAACAUGAUGCUGCUUUCCACCGAACCACCAAGGAUAGACCAGGACAGAGACCACAUGGCUGCGAGGAUAUUAGACCUCACUCUAGAGAUCAUCUACCUGAUAACUGGAGAGGAUUACACAGUAGUGAAGAAGUCGUCUGGUGAGUGUGUGACACCCCAUGUGUCAGGAGAAUGGAGCGGGACCCCGGGAGCCAUCACCGAGCCUCCACCUCAUUCAUUGAUACAUGAGCAGAAGAUCCUAGAACUUACCACCAGGA
Molecule: long non-coding RNA, 541 nt
Organism: Bufo bufo (common toad)
Lineage: Eukaryota; Metazoa; Chordata; Amphibia; Anura; Bufonidae
Exons: 4
Source: RefSeq, a predicted model, not a curated record